UCUGGAAAUGAAGACUUCUUUUACCGCCCCAGUCUGAAAAUUCAUGACUGAUUGGUACCAAUUCUGAUCCAGA
This is a non-coding RNA of Nerophis lumbriciformis (worm pipefish), 73 nucleotides long. NCBI's taxonomy places the organism in Eukaryota, Metazoa, Chordata, Actinopteri, Syngnathiformes, Syngnathidae. The record is from RefSeq and is a predicted model, not a curated record.